Molecule: transfer RNA, 74 nt
Filed under: Candidatus Latescibacterota bacterium
Lineage: Bacteria; Pseudomonadati; Candidatus Latescibacterota
Description: tRNA-Gln
Rfam family: tRNA
About the family: Transfer RNA (tRNA) molecules are approximately 80 nucleotides in length. Their secondary structure includes four short double-helical elements and three loops (D, anti-codon, and T loops).
Source: RNAcentral
UGCCCCUUGGUCUAACGGCAAGACGUCUGACUCUGGCUCAGGUAAUCGGGGUUCGAAUCCCUGAGGGGCAACCA